CCUGACGGUGCGUUGGGAGGUGUUUAGGUGGGCCGGUGUCCCAGCUGUUGUUCACAAGCUGAAAGCACACCCUUCUUAGCUGGCACACACACCAAAGUUAUACAAAACGGGUUAUACUUUGACCAGAUGCUGACCAUAGUAAAAGCCUAGGAUCCGCUCUCAGGGGAACUUGCAGUUCAUCGGGGAGACGGUCAAAUUCGUCACAAUUAGAGGUUAUGAAAUGUUGCUGGUCAGAGCUCUGUGGGUAAGGAAAAACAAAAAGCAAAACCAGAGUUCCCUGGAGAACCAACUAACCCCAGCACUGUGGCAGGAAACUUGUAAGAUGAGCCUGGAGCCAGAAAAUAAGGAAAUGUCUUCAAACCCAGAAAACCAUAUAGUGAUGGAGGAAAGCCAGAGACGUAGGAGCCUGCUGGAAGAGCUCCCAGGCGACACAAGUAGAAAAAUUUUGAAGAAAACAUAAAGUAGUAUUGAUUUACAAUCCAAAGAAUAAAAUUAAUAUCCACGAGUGCGUAGAAGUAAAUAAUUAGAUAAGUCUAUGAUAAGAAGAGAAAACUCCCUAGAGCAGUGUUAAGUCAUUUAUAUGGACAGUCUUCCUCCCAUUCAACAGGAGCAUAACUGCCAGUCUUUGAGUGUGGGGUGGACAGAAGUUUCUUCCAAAGAAGAUGGCAAAUCCAGAGAAGGGACUUUACAGUAAAGAGGCCUCCCAAGCACCACCCUGACCAGAUGACCAGGGUCAACAUUAGCAGUGAUGUCAUAUUGGUGCUAUGUGUCCUUGCUAUGAUGUGACAUU
This is a long non-coding RNA of Chionomys nivalis (European snow vole), 790 nucleotides long. RefSeq lists it as uncharacterized. NCBI's taxonomy places the organism in Eukaryota, Metazoa, Chordata, Mammalia, Rodentia, Cricetidae. The transcript is spliced from 3 exons. The record is from RefSeq and is a predicted model, not a curated record.